GACGAACGCUGGCGGCGUGCCUAACACAUGCAAGUCGAGCGGGGAUUUAAGUGGAAGUUCUUCGGAAUGGAGAUUUAAAUUCUAGCGGCGGACGGGUGAGUAACGCGUGAACAAUCUGUCCCGGACAGGGGGAUAACACUUGGAAACAGGUGCUAAUACCGCAUAAGACCACGGCCUCGCAUGGGGCUGAGGUAAAAGGAGCAAUCCGGUUCGGGGUGAGUUCGCGUCCGAUUAGCUAGUUGGUGAGGUAACGGCCCACCAAGGCGACGAUCGGUAGCCGGCCUGAGAGGGUGAACGGCCACAUUGGAACUGAGAGACGGUCCAAACUCAUACGGGAGGCAGCAGUGGGGAAUAUUGGGCAAUGGGCGAAAGCCUGACCCAGCAACGCCGCGUGAGGGAAGAAGGUUUUCGGAUUGUAAACCUCUGUCCUAUGAGACGAAGGAAGUGACGGUACCAUAGGAGGAAGCCCCGGCUAACUACGUG
RNAcentral lists this ribosomal RNA (483 nucleotides) under uncultured bacterium. Its description in RNAcentral is "partial 16S ribosomal RNA". It matches the Rfam family "Bacterial small subunit ribosomal RNA", at positions 28 to 507 of the family's 1533-position model. The record is from RNAcentral.